RNAcentral lists this transfer RNA (73 nucleotides) under Streptococcus oralis. RNAcentral describes it as "tRNA-Ala". It matches the Rfam family "tRNA". Rfam says of the family: Transfer RNA (tRNA) molecules are approximately 80 nucleotides in length. Their secondary structure includes four short double-helical elements and three loops (D, anti-codon, and T loops). RNAcentral also lists the same sequence under 13 other names. The record is from RNAcentral. Lineage: Bacteria; Bacillati; Bacillota; Bacilli; Lactobacillales; Streptococcaceae.
GGGGCCUUAGCUCAGCUGGGAGAGCGCCUGCUUUGCACGCAGGAGGUCAGCGGUUCGAUUCCGCUAGGCUCCA